RNAcentral lists this ribosomal RNA (397 nucleotides) under uncultured bacterium. RNAcentral's name for it is "partial 16S ribosomal RNA". It matches the Rfam family "Bacterial small subunit ribosomal RNA", at positions 338 to 732 of the family's 1533-position model. The record is from RNAcentral.
CCUACGGGAGGCAGCAGUGAGGAAUAUUGGUCAAUGGGCGAAAGUCUGAACCAGCCAAGUAGCGUGAAGGAUGACUGCCCUAUGGGUUGUAAACUUCUUUUAUAUGGGAGUAAAAUGUUCCACGUGUGGGAUUUUGUAUGUACCAUAUGAAUAAGGAACGGCUAACUCCGUGCCAGCAGCCGCGGUAAUAAGGAGGAUCGGAGCGUUAUCCGGAUUUAUUGGGUUUAAAGGGAGCGUAGGUGGAUUGUUAAGUCAGGUGUGAAAGGUUGCGGCUCAACCGUAAAAUUGCAGUUGAAACUGGCAGUCUUGAGUACAGUAGAGGUGGGCGGAAUGCGCGGUGUAGCGGUGAAAUGCUUAGAUAUCACGAAGAACUCCGAUUGCGAAGGCAGCUCACUGG